Molecule: unclassified non-coding RNA, 361 nt
Filed under: uncultured Pseudomonadota bacterium
Lineage: Bacteria; Pseudomonadati; Pseudomonadota
Description: uncultured proteobacterium contains 16S-23S intergenic spacer region
Source: RNAcentral
UCCGGUUUGUCACCGGCAGUCCCAUUAGAGUGCCCAACUGAAUGUAGCAACUAAUGGCAAGGGUUGCGCUCGUUGCGGGACUUAACCCAACAUCUCACGACACGAGCUGACGACAGCCAUGCAGCACCUGUGUCCAGGUUCCCUUUCGGUUUCUUACCACCGACAUGUCAAACCCAGGUAAGGUUUUUCGCGUUGCGUCGAAUUGAACCACAUGCUCCACCGCUUGUGCGGGUCCCCGUCAAUUCCUUUGAGUUUUAACCUUGCGGCCGUACUCCCCAGGCGGGAUGCUUAAUGCGUUAGCUGCGCCACCGACAAGCAAGCUUGCCGACGGCUAGCAUCCAUCGUUUACGGCGUGGACUAC